AUACGGAGGGUGCAAGCGUUACUCGGAAUCACUGGGCGUAAAGCGCGCGCAGGCGGCCAUUUAAGUUGGAUGUGAAAGCCUACGGCUUAACCGUAGAACUGCAUCCAAAACUAUUUGGCUAGAGUGUGGGAGAGGAAGAUGGAAUUAGUUGUGUAGGGGUAAAAUCCGUAGAGAUAACUAGGAAUACCAAAAGCGAAGGCAAUCUUCUGGAACACUACUGACGCUGAGGCGCGAAGGCGUGGGGAGCAAACAGGAUUAGAAACCCCGGUAGUCC
This 274-nucleotide ribosomal RNA is filed under the name uncultured bacterium. RNAcentral describes it as "partial 16S ribosomal RNA". It matches the Rfam family "Bacterial small subunit ribosomal RNA", at positions 523 to 796 of the family's 1533-position model. The record is from RNAcentral.